AAGUCUCUAAGAGUGAUUACAGCUGUGAGUCUUUCUGGGUAAGUCUCUAAGAGUGAUUACAGCUGUGAGUCUUUCUGGGUAAGUCUCUAAGAGCUUUGCACACCUGGAUUGUACAAUAUUUGCCCAUUAUUCUUUAAACAAUUCUUCAAGCUCUGUCAAGUUGAUUGUUGAUCAUUAUUAGAUAACCAUAUUCAAGUCUUUCCAUAGAUCUUCAAGCCGAUUUAAGUCAAAACUGUAACUAGACCACUCAGGAAUAUUCAAUAUCUUCUUGGUAAGUAACUAAAGUGUAGAUUUGGCCUUGUUUUAGGUUAUUGUCCUUCUGAAAGGCGAAUUCAUCUCCUCAUUGUCUAUUGGAACACAGACUGAACCAGACUUUCCUCUAGGAUUUUGGCUGUGCUUAUAGCUGUCUACCGUUUAUUUUUAUCCUAAUAACUCCCUAGUCCUUGCCAAUGACAAGCAUACCCAUAACAUGAUGCAGCCACCGCCAUGCUUGAAAAUAUGAAGUGGUACUGAGUGAUGUGUUGUGUUGGAUUUGCCCCAAACAAAACGCUUUAUUCAGGACAAAAAGUUAAUUUCUUUGCCGAAAUGUUUUCAGUAUUACUUAAGUGCCUUGUUGCAAACAGGAUGCAUGUUUUGGAGUAUUUUUAUUCUGUACAGGCUUUUUUAAAUCUGUCAUUUAGGUUAGUAUUAUGGAGUAACUAUGGAGUAACUACAAUGUUUAUCCAUCCUCAGUUGUUUUCUCCUAUCACAGUCAUUACACUCUGUAACUGUUUUAAGGUCACCAUUGGCUUCAUGGUGAAAAUCCUGAGCGGUUUCCUUCCUCUCCGGCAACUGAGUUAGGAAGGACGUCUGUAUCUUUGUAGCGACUGGGUGUAUUGAUACACCAUCCAAAGCCUAAUUAUAACUUCACCUUGCUCAAAGGGAUAUUACACAUUUUACCCAUCUACCAACCGGUGCCCUUCUUUGCGAGGCAUUGAAAAAUCUCCUUGGUCUUUGUGGUUGAAUAUGUGUUUGAAAUUCACUGCUCGAUUGAGGGACCUUACAAUUAUCUGUAUGUGUUGGGGUACAGAGAUGAGGUAGUCAUUUAAAAAUCAUGUUAACCAAUAUUAUUGAACACGGAAUGAGUCCAUGCAACUUAUUAUGAGAUUUGUUAAGCACACUUUUACUCCUGAACUUAUUUAGGCUUACCAUAAAGGGGUUGAAUACUUAUUGACUCAAGACAUUUCAGCUUAAAAUGUUUUAUUAAUAAAUAAAAAAUUAGACUAACAAAAUUCCACUUUGACAUUAUGGGGUAUUGCGUGUAGAUCAGGUAUUGUGUAUUACAUUGUAAUUCAGACUGUAAACCAUUUAAAAUUCAGACUGUAAACCAUUUUAAAAUCAGACUGUAAACCAUUUUAAAAUCAGACUGUACACCAUUUUAAAAUCAGACUGUACACCAUUUUAAAAUCAGACUGUAAACCAUUUUAAAUUCAGACUGUAAACCAUUUUAAAAUCAGACUGUAAACCAUUUUAAAUUCAGUCUGUAAACCAUUUUAAAUUCAGGCUGUAACAACACAAUGUGGGAGAAGUUAAAAAGGUGUGAAUCCUUUCUGAAGGCCACUGUACAUACAACCGUUGCUAUGGGACCAAGAACAUUGCUACAGUACUGUGUUGUUUAUAGCACACUUAUUUAUACUGUAUCACACUGUAGAUAUAUGCCACUCAGAAAGCAUGCAGGACAUUAUUAAGGUCAUUACGGUAAGAUUAUAAAUUAACCAUAUGAAAUAAAGAUGAGAGGAAUAUUAAAACAGGGAUUUUACCACUGAGGAAGUCACGUGGUCUGUAUGACUAAUUUGGACUAGAUAUAUACCUUAUUCAUCACUGACUCCAUCCAAUCUACGUCCCACAUAAAGUAUUCUAUUGUGGACCCUUCAAUUUCUACCCUACUCAGUGAUAUUCUGAUAUAACAAUGUAAUAUUUAAGUCCGGAACAGACUAUCCUAAGGCUUUGUGAACUUUUGAGCGCUGUGCUUUAAUAUGCAAAAAACAGGUUACUAUACAAUACAUUGUCCUGACUGACACUGCUGUAUCCAUCACUGAUAUCCAUUCACAUCUUAAUAACUGCCAAAUACAUUACACUACAUUUUGUUUGGUCUGGAAAUGACUUUUGUAAAACUGUGUUGUCUGUCACCUUAAAAAAAAAAAAGACUUGAAAAGUGAUUAAAGAUCCAGGGUGAAUGUCGGAUGUGUUGUUGUGGUUAUAGUGAGCUGUUUGUCAAAUGGCAUCCUACUCGUCAUACUGUCUAGUGCACUACUUUUGACCAGGGCCCAUGAGCUCAGGGUCCAUAGGGUUAGGGCCCAUAGAGGUCAGGGCCCAUAGAGGUCAGGGCCCAUAGGGUUAGGGCCCAUAGAGGUCAGGGCCCAUAGGGUUAGGGCCCAUAGAAGUCAGGGCCCAUAGAGGUCAGGGCCCAUAGAGGUCAGGGCCCAUAGAGGUUAGGGCCCAUAGAGGGCAGGGCCCAUAGGGUUAGGGCCCAUAGAGGUCAGGGCCCAUAGGGUUAGGGCCCAUAGAGGUCAGGGCCCAUAGAGGUCAGGGCCCAUAGGGUUAGGGCCCAUAGAGGUCAGGGCCCAUAGAGGUCAGGGCCCAUAGGGUUAGGGCCCAUAGGGUUAGGGCCCAUAGAGGUCAGGGCCCAUAGGGUUAGGGCCCAUAGAGGUCAGGGCCCAUAGGGUUAGGGCCCAUAGAGGUCAGGGCCCAUAGGGUUAGGGCCCAUAGGGUUAGGGCCCAUAGAGCUCAGGGCCCAUAGGGUUAGGGCCCAUAGGGUUCAGGUCAAAAGUAGUGCACUACAUGGGGAAUAAGUAGGGUGCCACCUGGGGGACACAAUUCAUGUUGAAGUAGAUGGUUUCCUUCAGAGCUCUGGUCCUGUAUCUCUCCUUAGCCCGAAAAGCAACUCUGUUUUCUAUUGAAGUUUGUAAAAUAAGCGCUUUGAAAUAAAAUAACAAAUGAUAUCUCAUACUCUAGCCUGCUCUGGAAAUGUUUAAAAAUGCAAUUAUCGAUGAAUGAAAGCUUGCAUUACAUUACCCCAUUGAUUAAAGAUUAUAUUACUGAGAAUAGAUUUUUUCAUGUCAAUUGACUUCUUAACUUCGCAUGUUUCCCAAAUGGCACCCUAUUCUCUACAUAGGGCACUACUUUUGACUAGAGCACUAUGGCCCCUGGUUAAAAGUAGUGCACUUUGGGAAUAGGGUGCCAUUUGGGUUGCUGCCCAUUAAAUAAGCCUUGUGUUUUGAUUGUGUAACUGAAGGUCAGGGCUGUAGUUGAUCCCUGGACUAGUGGGUCUCAUCUUUACAAGCAUUUUGCUACACUCGCAAUAAUCAUUUGCCAACCAUUUAUAUGUGAC
Long non-coding RNA from Oncorhynchus tshawytscha (Chinook salmon), 3370 nucleotides. Lineage: Eukaryota; Metazoa; Chordata; Actinopteri; Salmoniformes; Salmonidae. The record is from Ensembl.